Molecule: small RNA, 29 nt
Filed under: Bombyx mori (domestic silkworm)
Lineage: Eukaryota; Metazoa; Arthropoda; Insecta; Lepidoptera; Bombycidae
Description: ovarian small RNA-17435
Source: RNAcentral
GGCCUUCCCACAACGGGUUCUCCCGCCUC